Molecule: non-coding RNA, 24 nt
Filed under: Rattus norvegicus (Norway rat)
Lineage: Eukaryota; Metazoa; Chordata; Mammalia; Rodentia; Muridae
Source: RNAcentral
GUUUUCCACGGGUGCACUCAUUCC